AGUGUUUUAAUCUGGUUUAUCUGCACAUAAUAUAUGAAUCUCAGGCGUGUAGACAAUUUCUGUUUAGCGAAAGUAAAGUACACUCGUGACGCGCCACAGCAGAAAGCCGGAAACCCUCAGCGCCUGGAAGUCAGCGAUGUCGCUUGACCGUCACUAAUCUCGUCUCCAAAGUUCAGGUCCUUGAGCUGAAUCAGAUAUUCUUCACUUUGAACCAUCGGUGUGGAGAUAUCUUCAAGUGGAAACCGUUCCUGUUAAUCGCUCCGCGCGGCGCCCACGGCAGGUUGCAGCCUCUAUGAUUUGUAACGUUUAAACAGUCCAUAAUCUGUGCAAGCCGCUGAGAAAUGCAAGGUGUCACUGCAGCAAGGCUGAUGUAACAAUGACAGGGGCGCAAUAUGUUCACAAGUCCCCUUCGGGUCCCAGGGAAAGUGGCUGCAGCCUGCCCCUCUCAUACAUUUGGAUUAACGUGACAUCAGCACCAGCUGUCGGCAAGAUGAUUUACGACUUUAGGGACCUGGUGAAUGUGCUCGCCGGUAUAAACCCAUUUACUUAUCACGCCUUUAUCGCUGUCCUAUCACACGAGAAGGAAGCACUUCCAAGCCAUAGAGAAAGUAGGGUGGUCCUCCCUCAACAGUGCCCUCUAUUAAUCCCAAGGGACCCCUACAGCACUUCCAGACUCCAUCUCCCUAGCACCCUUGUGGGUGUCCUGACUGGAUGUUCAUACAAGGACCACUGCCACCUAGAGCACUGGAGAUGGAACCACUCCCAACUUCUGGCUUCCACAGGUCCAUCCAUUAUUUUACACCAGCUAGGCACAAAGUUAUUUUUUCAUCCAGCUGGCCAAUCCAUCCAUCGUUCUUCUUAGGUCAUCAAUCCAGACCAGACAUGGGAAACUCUUCCUGAUUCUGAUGACGUAACUUCCCAUUCAAGCCCCAAGAAUGUUACUUCUGGUUCUGAGCCCAAGAACAUCACUUCCUGUCCCUGGUCCAGAUGAUAUCACUUCCGAUGGCCAGCCAUAAAAGAAACCCAACCAUCUCAGUUCUGUUGUGGACUCAAUCUGUACAGUUCUCUGCAACCAAAACCUCAUUUUUGCAGCCUGAAUCAAGAAUACAGGUGGCUACCCCAAACCUCUUUUGGUGUCAUGGUCUAUUUAUUUCACAAGGUAUUUUGUUU
This is a long non-coding RNA of Polypterus senegalus (gray bichir), 1170 nucleotides long. RefSeq lists it as uncharacterized. Lineage: Eukaryota; Metazoa; Chordata; Cladistia; Polypteriformes; Polypteridae. The transcript has 3 exons. The record is from RefSeq and is a predicted model, not a curated record.